RNAcentral lists this ribosomal RNA (533 nucleotides) under uncultured bacterium. RNAcentral's name for it is "bacterial SSU rRNA". It matches the Rfam family "Bacterial small subunit ribosomal RNA", at positions 777 to 1307 of the family's 1533-position model. The record is from RNAcentral.
AAUAGAUACCCUGGUAGUCCAUGCCGUAAACGUUGGGAACUAGAUGUAGGGCCUGUUCCACGGGUUCUGUGUCGUAGCUAACGCAUUAAGUUCCCCGCCUGGGGAGUACGGCCGCAAGGCUAAAACUCAAAGGAAUUGACGGGGGCCCGCACAAGCGGCGGAGCAUGCGGAUUAAUUCGAUGCAACGCGAAGAACCUUACCAAGGCUUGACAUAUAGAAGAACACUGCAGAGAUGCAGGACUCUUUGGACACUUCUAUACAGGUGGUGCAUGGUUGUCGUCAGCUCGUGUCGUGAGAUGUUCGGUUAAGUCCGGCAACGAGCGCAACCCUCGUCCUAUGUUGCCAGCGGGUGAUGCCGGGAACUCAUGGGAUACUGCCGUGGUCAACACGGAGGAAGGUGGGGAUGACGUCAAAUCAUCAUGCCCCUUAUGUCUUGGGCUUCACGCAUGCUACAAUGGCCGGUACAAAGGGCGGCGAUACCGUAAGGUGGAGCGAAUCCCGAAAAAGCCGGUCUCAGUUCGGAUUGGGGUCUG